CUACACAUGCAAGUCGAGCGGAUGAGAGGAGCUUGCUCCUGGAUUCAGCGGCGGACGGGUGAGUAAUGCCUAGGAAUCUGCCUGGUAGUGGGGGACAACGUUUCGAAAGGAACGCUAAUACCGCAUACGUCCUACGGGAGAAAGCAGGGGACCUUCGGGCCUUGCGCUAUCAGAUGAGCCUAGGUCGGAUUAGCUAGUUGGUGAGGUAAUGGCUCACCAAGGCGACGAUCCGUAACUGGUCUGAGAGGAUGAUCAGUCACACUGGAACUGAGACACGGUCCAGACUCCUACGGGAGGCAGCAGUGGGGAAUAUUGGACAAUGGGCGAAAGCCUGAUCCAGCCAUGCCGCGUGUGUGAAGAAGGUCUUCGGAUUGUAAAGCACUUUAAGUUGGGAGGAAGGGCAUUAACCUAAUACGUUAGUGUUUUGACGUUACCGACAGAAUAAGCACCGGCUAACUCUGUGCCAGCAGCCGCGGUAAUACAGAGGGUGCAAGCGUUAAUCGGAAUUACUGGGCGUAAAGCGCGCGUAGGUGGUUUGUUAAGUUGGAUGUGAAAUCCCCGGGCUCAACCUGGGAACUGCAUUCAAAACUGACAAGCUAGAGUAUGGUAGAGGGUGGUGGAAUUUCCUGUGUAGCGGUGAAAUGCGUAGAUAUAGGAAGGAACACCAGUGGCGAAGGCGACCACCU
RNAcentral lists this ribosomal RNA (686 nucleotides) under bacterium EA10-18. RNAcentral describes it as "bacterial SSU rRNA". It matches the Rfam family "Bacterial small subunit ribosomal RNA", at positions 49 to 730 of the family's 1533-position model. The record is from RNAcentral.